AUGGCCUGGACUUCUGUUUGGAUCACACUUCUGGCUCACUGCACAGGGGCCAUUUCCCAGGCUGUUGUGACUCAGGAAUCAUCACUCACCACAUCUCCUGGAGGGACAGUCACACUCACCUGUGGCUCAAGUACUGGGGCUGUUACUACAAGUAACUAUGCCAACUGGGUCCAAGAAAAAUCUUACCGGGUACACAGUGGUCUGAUAGGUGAUACUAGCAACAGAAUCCCAGGUGUUCCUGCCCGAUCCUCAGGCUCCCUGCUUGGAGACAAGGCUGCCCUCACCAUCACAGGGGAACAGCCUGAGGAUGAGCCUGUGUAUUAUUGUGCUCUAUGGUUCACAAAUUGUUGGGUGUUCGGCGGAGGCACCACGUUGACUGUCCUAGGUCAACCCAAGGCUACACCUUCAGUUACGCUGUUUCCACCAUCCUCUGAGGAGCUUAAGACCAAAAAGGCCACACUGGUGUGUGUGAUGACUGACUUUUACCCAGGUGUUGUGACAGUGGCCUGGAAGGCAAAUGGUACACCUAUCACCCAGGGUGUAGAGACCACUAAGCCUGUGAAACAGGGUGACAAGUACGUGGCUAACAGCUACCUGCACUUGACAGAAGAAGCAUGGAAAUCUAAAAGCAGUGUCAGCUGCCUGGUCACUCAUGAAGGGGACACUGUGGAGAAGAGCUUGUCCCCUGGAAUGUGUCCCUAGGCCUUUCAACAUUCAUCUCACCCACACAGGCUGGGAUUUGAAUCAUGCACAAGUAUACCCUUACUGUUCUUGCCUAACAUAGACCUUUACCCUGCUCCUGAAAUGCACAAUAAAAUAUCCAUUCUCAACUUGUAA
Molecule: non-coding RNA, 837 nt
Organism: Peromyscus maniculatus bairdii (prairie deer mouse)
Lineage: Eukaryota; Metazoa; Chordata; Mammalia; Rodentia; Cricetidae
Source: the annotation of a RefSeq genome assembly